This 934-nucleotide non-coding RNA is filed under the name Leptobrachella alpina. RNAcentral's name for it is "12S ribosomal RNA". It matches the Rfam family "Bacterial small subunit ribosomal RNA". The record is from RNAcentral. Lineage: Eukaryota; Metazoa; Chordata; Amphibia; Anura; Megophryidae.
CAAAGGCCUGGUCUCGGCCUUUCUAUCGUCUCUGACUAAACUUACACAUGCAAGACUCUUCGCCCCGGUGAAAUUACCCUUGUUUAUCUUUUAGGUAGAAGGAGUGGGUAUCAGGCUUCACGCCCAAGACACUCAGUUUAACCACACCCCCACGGGUACUCAGCAGUGAUCAAUAUUAAAUAUUUGCGCAAGCAAGAUUUAGUUAUAGUUGUAAUGGUCGGUUAAUUUCGUGCCAGCCGCCGCGGUUACACGGAAGACCAAAGUCGAUAGAUUUCGGCGUAAAGCGUGAUUAGGGGCCCACAUACUAAAGUUAAACCAUAAUCUAGCAGUUAUAUGUCAACAUUACUAGGGAAUCCCAAUAACGAAAGUAACUUUAUUUAAACCUGAACUCACGACAAUCAGGGCACAAACUGGAAUUAGAUACUCCACUAUGCCUGGUCUUAAACUUUGACUAAUUACACCACCAAUCCGCCAGGGUACUACGAGCAUAAGCUUAAAACCCAAGAGACUUGGCGGUGCUCUAUAUACACCUAGAGGAGCCUGUUCUAUAAUCGAUGAUCCCCGAUACACCUCACCACUUAUUGCCAAAUCCGCCUAUAUACCGCCGUCGCCAACCCACCUUAUGAAGGAUGAAAAGUGAGUCUGAGGGCUUAUUGCCAACACGUCAGGUCAAGGUGUAGCUAAUGAAGUGGGAAGAAAUGGGCUACAUUUUCUAAUCUAGAAUACACGGAAGAUCAUUUAUGAAACCUGGUCAGAAGGAGGAUUUAGCAGUAAAAAGAAACCAGCAAGUUCCUUUAAAGUUGUCCUAGAGCGCGUACAUACCGCCCGUCACCCUCUUCGAUCUAAAAUACUUAAUUUUAAAUAAAAAACAAACAGAAUCAAGAAGAGGCAAGUCGUAACAUGGUAAGCGUACCGGAAGGUGCGCUUGGAACAA